UAAGGAAUAUUGGACAAUGCCCGCAAGGGUGAUCCAGCCAUGCCGCGUGCAGGAAGACGGCCCUAUGGGUUGUAAACUGCUUUUACACCGGAGAAAACCUCCCCUCGUGAGGGGAGCUGAUAGUAUGGUGAGAAUAAGCAUCGGCUAACUUCGUGCCAGCAGCCGCGGUAAGACGAAGGAUGCAAGCGUUAUCCGGAUUCAUUGGGUUUAAAGGGAGCGUAGGUGGACUGAUAAGUCAGUGGUGAAAUCUUCGAGCUUAACUCGGAAAUUGCCAUUGAUACUGUUGGUCUUGAGUACAGUUGCUGUGGGCGGAAUAUGACAUGUAGUGGUGAAAUACAUAGAGAUGUCAUAGAACACCGAUUGCGAAGGCAGCUCACAAAGCUGUAACUGACACUGAGGCUCGAAAGUGCGGGGAUCAAACAGG
RNAcentral lists this ribosomal RNA (424 nucleotides) under Microvirga ossetica. RNAcentral's name for it is "partial 16S ribosomal RNA". It matches the Rfam family "Bacterial small subunit ribosomal RNA", at positions 355 to 776 of the family's 1533-position model. Lineage: Bacteria; Pseudomonadati; Pseudomonadota; Alphaproteobacteria; Hyphomicrobiales; Methylobacteriaceae. The record is from RNAcentral. RNAcentral also lists the same sequence under 1 other name.